Molecule: ribosomal RNA, 1552 nt
Filed under: Salmonella enterica
Lineage: Bacteria; Pseudomonadati; Pseudomonadota; Gammaproteobacteria; Enterobacterales; Enterobacteriaceae
Description: bacterial SSU rRNA
Rfam family: Bacterial small subunit ribosomal RNA
Source: RNAcentral
AAAUUGAAGAGUUUGAUCAUGGCUCAGAUUGAACGCUGGCGGCAGGCCUAACACAUGCAAGUCGAACGGUAACAGGAAGCAGCUUGCUGCUUUGCUGACGAGUGGCGGACGGGUGAGUAAUGUCUGGGAAACUGCCUGAUGGAGGGGGAUAACUACUGGAAACGGUGGCUAAUACCGCAUAACGUCGCAAGACCAAAGAGGGGGACCUUCGGGCCUCUUGCCAUCAGAUGUGCCCAGAUGGGAUUAGCUUGUUGGUGAGGUAACGGCUCACCAAGGCGACGAUCCCUAGCUGGUCUGAGAGGAUGACCAGCCACACUGGAACUGAGACACGGUCCAGACUCCUACGGGAGGCAGCAGUGGGGAAUAUUGCACAAUGGGCGCAAGCCUGAUGCAGCCAUGCCGCGUGUAUGAAGAAGGCCUUCGGGUUGUAAAGUACUUUCAGCGGGGAGGAAGGUGUUGUGGUUAAUAACCGCAGCAAUUGACGUUACCCGCAGAAGAAGCACCGGCUAACUCCGUGCCAGCAGCCGCGGUAAUACGGAGGGUGCAAGCGUUAAUCGGAAUUACUGGGCGUAAAGCGCACGCAGGCGGUCUGUCAAGUCGGAUGUGAAAUCCCCGGGCUCAACCUGGGAACUGCAUUCGAAACUGGCAGGCUUGAGUCUUGUAGAGGGGGGUAGAAUUCCAGGUGUAGCGGUGAAAUGCGUAGAGAUCUGGAGGAAUACCGGUGGCGAAGGCGGCCCCCUGGACAAAGACUGACGCUCAGGUGCGAAAGCGUGGGGAGCAAACAGGAUUAGAUACCCUGGUAGUCCACGCCGUAAACGAUGUCUACUUGGAGGCUGUGCCCUUGAGGCGUGGCUUCCGGAGCUAACGCGUUAAGUAGACCGCCUGGGGAGUACGGCCGCAAGGUUAAAACUCAAAUGAAUUGACGGGGGCCCGCACAAGCGGUGGAGCAUGUGGUUUAAUUCGAUGCAACGCGAAGAACCUUACCUGGUCUUGACAUCCACGGAAGAAUUCAGAGAUGGAUUUGUGCCUUCGGGAACCGUGAGACAGGUGCUGCAUGGCUGUCGUCAGCUCGUGUUGUGAAAUGUUGGGUUAAGUCCCGCAACGAGCGCAACCCUUAUCCUUUGUUGCCAGCGAUUCGGUCGGGAACUCAAAGGAGACUGCCAGUGAUAAACUGGAGGAAGGUGGGGAUGACGUCAAGUCAUCAUGGCCCUUACGACCAGGGCUACACACGUGCUACAAUGGCGCAUACAAAGAGAAGCGACCUCGCGAGAGCAAGCGGACCUCAUAAAGUGCGUCGUAGUCCGGAUUGGAGUCUGCAACUCGACUCCAUGAAGUCGGAAUCGCUAGUAAUCGUGGAUCAGAAUGCCACGGUGAAUACGUUCCCGGGCCUUGUACACACCGCCCGUCACACCAUGGGAGUGGGUUGCAAAAGAAGUAGGUAGCUUAACCUUCGGGAGGGCGCUUACCACUUUGUGAUUCAUGACUGGGGUGAAGUCGUAACAAGGUAACCGUAGGGGAACCUGCGGUUGGAUCACCUCCUUACCUUAAAGAA